UUCUGGCUCAGGAUGAACGCUAGCGACAGGCUUAACACAUGCAAGUCGAGGGGCAGCAUAAAAGUAGCAAUACUUGGUGGCGACCGGCGCACGGGUGAGUAACGCGUAUGCAACCUACCUAUCAGAGGGGAAUAACCCGGCGAAAGUCGGACUAAUACCGCAUAAAACAGGGGCACCGCAUGGUGAUAUUUGUUAAAGAAAUUCGCUGAUAGAUGGGCAUGCGUUCCAUUAGGUAGUUGGUGAGGUAACGGCUCACCAAGCCGACGAUGGAUAGGGGAACUGAGAGGUUGGUCCCCCACACUGGUACUGAGACACGGACCAGACUCCUACGGGAGGCAGCAGUGAGGAAUAUUAGUCAAUGGGCGGGAGCCUGAACCAGCCAAGUCGCCGUGAAGGAAGAAGGAUCUAUGGUUCGUAAACCUCUUUUGCAGGGGAAUAAAGUGCAGGACGUGUCCUGUUUUGUAUGUACCCUGAGAAUAAGGAUCGGCUAACUCCGUGCCAGCCGCCGC
Molecule: ribosomal RNA, 509 nt
Filed under: uncultured bacterium
Lineage: Bacteria
Description: bacterial SSU rRNA
Rfam family: Bacterial small subunit ribosomal RNA
Source: RNAcentral